This is a non-coding RNA of Hippopotamus amphibius kiboko, 73 nucleotides long. The record is from the annotation of a RefSeq genome assembly. Lineage: Eukaryota; Metazoa; Chordata; Mammalia; Artiodactyla; Hippopotamidae.
UCCCUGGUGGUCCAGUGGUCAGGACUUUGCAUUUUCACUGCUGUGGACCCAGGUUCAAUCCCUGGUCAGGGAA